This 310-nucleotide unclassified non-coding RNA is filed under the name plant metagenome. Its description in RNAcentral is "partial contains 5.8S ribosomal RNA, internal transcribed spacer 2, and large subunit ribosomal RNA". The stretch from base 1 to 105 matches the Rfam family "5.8S ribosomal RNA", at positions 50 to 154 of the family's 154-position model. The record is from RNAcentral.
GAAAUGCGAUAAGUAGUGUGAAUUGCAGAAUUCAGUGAAUCAUCGAAUCUUUGAACGCACAUUGCGCCCCUUGGUAUUCCAUGGGGCAUGCCUGUUCGAGCGUCAUUUGUACCCUCAAGCUCUGCUUGGUGUUGGGUGUUUGUCCCCGUCUCCGCGCGUGGACUCGCCCCAAAGUGAUUGGCAGCCGGCGUACUGGUCCCGGAGCGCAGCACAUGUCGCGCAAACGAGUGCCUUGGUACGGCGGCGUCAAUAAGCCCCUCUCUCACGCUCUUGACCUCGGAUCAGGUAGGGAUACCCGCUGAACUUAAGC